GAUCAAAAUAGCCUCAAAAAACUUAAUUUUCUGAAAAAUAGCCCCUUCAUUUGGAAGGGGACCAAACUAGCAUUACUCUAAAUAUCUCCUCGUUUCUUUCAGCCAAUAUCUCUCUUUUUGUCCGAUGCAGAAUCAUUAUCCUUCGCCGAUCUCUCUCUUUCAAAGAUCCCUUUUGUCGACCUCGUUCAGCAUAUUAAAUCUCGAAGCUCUCAUUCACGGGUGGACGCGCGGCUGCUUUGGCGUUACAUUUCGGUGAGGAUCUAGCUCGUGUCCCAUUUGAGCAAGUUGUAUCAACUCUGCACAACCUUUGUUAGAAUAUUUGUGCAGUCACACAAGGAAAACAGCAAGCAAGUUGAAUUUGAGAAGAAAGCACCGUAAGGAAGCAGAUAACGAGAAAUUUAAGAACGAUGUGUGCAAUGAGAACUGAAACACAACAGCAUACACAAAUGUUCUUGUUCCCUACUCCCUCUCGACCUCCUUGAGUUGCAUUUGGUAGUCCUGGGAACCGGAAACUACAUGUUGCGACUCUUAGUUCUGUGAUUUUACCCAUUAUUUUGACAUCAAAUUUUCCAUUUAGUUCAUCAACAAAGACAAGCCUGUGGCUUUGGAUAUAGUAUUUUUAGAUUAGAAGGAAAAAGAAGAAUCUUUGUUCCUCUAGUAGGUUACAAUAUCAGCAUCCAGCGAUUAGCUUAUAAAGAAGAAGUGAAGACUCAGGUUUCUGAUUUGAUGGAAAUAAUAUUAGAAAGAUUUAUGCCGGAGCUUUUGAGUCACUGGAUGGUUUAAUUCAUAAAUAGAAAUGUAACUUCUUUUGUAUAAUGCUUUGGGAGGUAUACGGAGAUGUGUAAAUAUAGUGUGAGUGUGUGUGUUUUGUGUUUUAUCAACAUUUACGAUGUUACUUUAAGAAGUUAUAGACACUUCUUGGUUAGAAUGCGUGCAAAACGUC
This is a long non-coding RNA of Eutrema salsugineum, 943 nucleotides long. RefSeq lists it as uncharacterized. The transcript is spliced from 3 exons. The record is from RefSeq and is a predicted model, not a curated record. NCBI's taxonomy places the organism in Eukaryota, Viridiplantae, Streptophyta, Magnoliopsida, Brassicales, Brassicaceae.